This 2617-nucleotide unclassified non-coding RNA is filed under the name Hevea brasiliensis (rubber tree). The record is from RNAcentral. Lineage: Eukaryota; Viridiplantae; Streptophyta; Magnoliopsida; Malpighiales; Euphorbiaceae.
UAUGAUAAGUUAGUAGAGAAAUGAGUAAGGGGAAGAGGAGACCUAAAAUGAUGUGGAGAAAAGUGGUGUCAAAAGAUUUACGAGUUUUGAUAUUGAUGUAGAUUUGGUAUCUAAUAGAGCUGAAUGAUAAAAAGGGACACAUAUAGCCAACCCAACUAGUUUGAAGUCAAGGCUUAGUUGUUGUUGUUCUAUCUUACAAAACAUGGCUUUCUGUACAAUCAUCUCCUUCUACAUUAAAGAUUAAAGAAGAACAUAAUAAGAAUGAGAAAAAAAAUAAAGAUAUCAAUUCGGGGGAUAGGGUAUUCUUGUAAUUGAGAAAAAAUAUUUUUAGGAAAAGAAAAUCAACAAAGAAAAGUUGUCCAACCACACUUUUUGUCGGUCAACACACCUUUGAUUGCUUAAUCUGUAAGAAGUACACCUCUUUUGAGUCCAAGUCUAUAGAUCAACAUAUAUAUUUGAUUUUUAGUUUUCUAAGUUCUCCUUUCCAUCAUUAUUUGGUUAUUCCUUGAUUUUAUUUUUUUAACUUUGUUCAUCUAAACUUUUCAUCUCAUAGUAGUUAUAACAUAUGAUGUUUUGUGUUUGGUUUUGUUGAUGGAAACAAUGCUGUUUUCACAUGCACACUAGGGAACUAGUUCUUGCGUAAUUAAUAAUGUCCUUAGUUACAAGUUUCUUAUAUGAUACAAUAGAACACAAGCCUUCUUCUGGUCUUGCAUAUCUAUUCGUGUCAUGCUGAUAUUUGUUUUGAAGCUGAUAUCUAUAUUUAUGUUAAUAUUGCUUUUGCUACAAGCCUUUCUACCAUCUUAUAUCUUAGGAAAGGCCAUUAAAGAACAUAAAUAAAAAUAUAUAAGGCCUUAAAGGUGGUACCACGAAUAUAUGUGUCCUGCCCUGUGUGCUUUUGUGUUUGUCAUUGUCUGUGCCUGGACAUGCACCAUUUUCUAUGAAGUUGAAAAGGGUUUUAGUCUUUAUUGUUAGCAUAACUUACAAUUUUGUCUGACAGAGUGAUGGAAAAUACACAACUUCAAGGACAAAUUCCAACUCGCUUCUUCAGCCUUCCUUAUUUACAGACAGUGUGCGUAUCAUCUUGAUAUCUAGUAGCCAACAUUUAAUUUUAGGAUGUCAAGAAACGCCAAAGGAUAAUUAACUGGUUAAUUUUUAGGAUUCUGCACAAAGAAGCCUAGCUAGACAUUUAUAUCUGAUGAUGGCAUUGGCUAAUAUGGUUACAGGGAUCUAAGUAACAAUACACUCAAUGGCACUUUAGAUAUUGGAACAAUCAAUAGUGACCAACUACAGCUCAUUGAUUUGCAAACCAAUUCCAUUUCUGAUUAUACUCCAAAACCUGGACAAAAGCAAGUUGAUAUAAUGUGAGUUGCAUUCUUUAUUCAUGCUUGAGAAAUUCAAAACGUUGUGCUACUGAAGAACUUAAAACUUAGUAUUUGAAAAUAUUAAAUUGCCUAGAGAUAUUCUCUGCUUCUACUUACCAACUUAUGAUUGUUUUAUCUGUUCAAAUUUGCAGACUUGUGAACAACCCAGUUUGUCAGGAAACUGGAGUAAUAGCAAGUUACUGCACUGUUUCCAGGCCUAAUUCUUCUUAUGUGACACUCCCAAAUAAUUGUGUGCCUAUUCCCUGUCGUUCAAAUCAGAUUUCUAGUCCCAACUGUAAUUGUGCAUAUGCAUACACAGGACUUUUAGUUUUCAGAGCUCCUUCAUUCUCAGACUUGGGAAACAUAACCAUUUACAUUUCUCUCCAGCGGAGUCUAAUGGAUUCUUUUAGGUCCAAUCAACUUCCUGUGGAUUCGGUAUCUCUAAGUAAUCCAAGAAAGGAUUUGUCUGAGUACUUGGAUUUAAAUCUUCAAGUCUUUCCAUUUGACCGAGAUUAUUUCAAUCAAACAAUUAUUUCUCAGAUUGGGUUUGUGUUGAGCAACCAGACUUUCAAGCCUCCAAAAGUCUUUGGACCGUACUAUUUUAUUGGAGAUGUUUAUCACUAUUUUGCUGGAGAAGUUACAAGAUCAAACAACUCAUCAAACACUGGUAUUAUCAUUGGAGCUGUUGCUGGAGGUUCCGCCCUCCUACUAUUAUUGGUCCUUGCAGGGCUUUAUGCUUACCGACAAAAGAAGAGAGCAGAAAGAGCAACUGAACGGAACAAUCCUUUCGCACACUGGGAUUCAACUAAGAGCAGUGGUACUGGUGUUCCUCAAUUAAAAGGGGCCAGAUGCUUUUCUUUUGAAGAGCUUAAAAAAUACACUAGUAAUUUUUCAGAAGCAAAUAAUAUUGGAUCUGGUGGUUAUGGAAAGGUAUAUAGAGGAAUCCUUCCCAGUGGAGAAUUGAUUGCCAUAAAACGAGCUCAACAACAAUCAUUGCAGGGUGGGCUAGAAUUCAAAACUGAGAUUGAACUUCUAUCAAGAGUGCAUCAUAAAAAUCUUGUAAGCCUUUUGGGAUUUUGCUUUGACCAAGGUGAACAAAUGCUCAUUUAUGAAUUUGUCCCAAAUGGGAGUCUCGGUGACAGUCUUUCAGGGAAGUCGGGAAUCAGGUUGGAUUGGAUUAGGAGACUUAAAGUAGCCCUUGGUUCAGCCAGAGGUCUGGCAUAUCUCCAUGAACUUGCAAACCCUCCCAUUAUCCA